This 71-nucleotide transfer RNA is filed under the name Marmota monax (woodchuck). RNAcentral's name for it is "tRNA.Ala". Lineage: Eukaryota; Metazoa; Chordata; Mammalia; Rodentia; Sciuridae. The record is from RNAcentral.
GGGGUUCUGGAUUAGUGGUAGAGCACUCACCUAGCAUGUGUGAGGCACUGGGUUCGAUCCUCAGCACCACA